This 497-nucleotide ribosomal RNA is filed under the name uncultured bacterium. Its description in RNAcentral is "partial 16S ribosomal RNA". It matches the Rfam family "Bacterial small subunit ribosomal RNA", at positions 28 to 507 of the family's 1533-position model. The record is from RNAcentral.
GAGGAAAGAGGGAGGCGUGCCUAAUACAUGCAAGUCGAGCGAACAGACGAGGAGCUUGCUCCUCUGACGUUAGCGGCGGACGGGUGAGUAACACGUGGAUAACCUACCUAUAAGACUGGGAUAACUUCGGGAAACCGGAGCUAAUACCGGAUAAUAUAUUGAACCGCAUGGUUCAAUAGUGAAAGACGGUUUUGCUGUCACUUAUAGAUGGAUCCGCGCCGCAUUAGCUAGUUGGUAAGGUAACGGCUUACCAAGGCAACGAUGCGUAGCCGACCUGAGAGGGUGAUCGGCCACACUGGAACUGAGACACGGUCCAGACUCCUACGGGAGGCAGCAGUAGGGAAUCUUCCGCAAUGGGCGAAAGCCUGACGGAGCAACGCCGCGUGAGUGAUGAAGGUCUUCGGAUCGUAAAACUCUGUUAUUAGGGAAGAACAAAUGUGUAAGUAACUAUGCACGUCUUGACGGUACCUAAUCAGAAAGCCACGGCUAACUACGUG